RNAcentral lists this transfer RNA (73 nucleotides) under Neotoma lepida (desert woodrat). It matches the Rfam family "tRNA". Rfam says of the family: Transfer RNA (tRNA) molecules are approximately 80 nucleotides in length. Their secondary structure includes four short double-helical elements and three loops (D, anti-codon, and T loops). Lineage: Eukaryota; Metazoa; Chordata; Mammalia; Rodentia; Cricetidae. The record is from Rfam by way of RNAcentral.
GCCUGGCUAGCUCAGUCUGUAGAGCAUGAAAUUCUUAAUCUCAGGGUCAUUGAUUCAUGCCCUGUGUUGGGCA